RNAcentral lists this long non-coding RNA (2562 nucleotides) under Homo sapiens (human). Its description in RNAcentral is "HSALNT0392131". The record is from RNAcentral. Lineage: Eukaryota; Metazoa; Chordata; Mammalia; Primates; Hominidae.
AGGAUCCCCGCGGGCCGACCGGGGCAGCCCGGGAGCCGAGGUGCGGCGGAGAGCCCGCGGAUCAAAGGAAUCUGGAGAGAAAGGGGAAGCGGGCGGCCGGCCCCGGCCGGCCUUCCCCCCCGCAGGCCACGCCGACCUGGGGUGGGGGGCUGCGGGCCGCGGGCGGGGACUCCGGGAUUUCCCGCCUGCCUGAGUCGGGGCCUACGCCGGCGCCCGCUUCGGGCGGCUCGGCCCGGAGGGGAGCUCCGGAGAGCUGGCCUUCCCCAGAGAUUCCUGCUCCCAGCCCAGGCCCAGACGGCAACAGAAGCUCAUGGAAUGGCAGACUCUGGACAUGCUCCUAGAGAUGGGAGGUCAAAAUGAUCAACGUUCAGGGUCCCUUCAUCUCAGAGGGUCUCGAGUCACCUCAUUUAAAGUGUGGCCUGGGACACCUCCUAUCCAGCCAUACGCCGCCCAGGACUGGCUCAACAGCUCCACCCUCCACUGCUGUUCACCCAUGACACGUCACUUCCCACCCGCCACUGCUGGCUCACCUGUGACACCCCAGGCAGCUCAGAUGCCCGGCAGGUCCUGCUGGUGUGUGUUAGCCGGGGUCUCCAAAGAACCAGAGCCAGCAGGGGACACACCCAUCUCUGUAUCUGGAGAAAAAGAUCGAUGAGAAGGAAUCUGCUCCUGUGAUGAUGGAGGCUGACAAGUCCCGAGAGCCACGGUUGGCACCCUGGAGACCCCUGAGGGUGAUACCACCACUCCAGGCUGAAAGCUGGCAGGCUUGAGACCCUGGGAGAGCUGGCCCUCUGACUCCUGGGACUUCUUAUUCUAUCCUAGUAUUUCCUCAGCUGAGUGCAUGGGGCCAGACCACACUGGGGAGGGCAGUCAGCGUCACUCAGAGCACCGGGUCAUCUCAUGCAGAAACACCCUCAAAGAAAUAGCCCAAAUUAUGCUGACCAAAUAUCUGGGCACCCCGUGCCCCAGACAAGUUGACACAGAAAAUUAACCAUCACAGGUUAACUCCAUCCAGGAGUGGAAUUGCUGGGUCAUAGAGAAGGCAUAGGAAUUCACAGAAAUCACCAAACGGUUUUCAGGCGGUUGUGCCAUGUUAAACUCCCACUGGAAAGAGAGGAGAGCUGUGAUUGUUCCACGUCCUCAGCAACGUUUAGAAUAGGCAGUCUUUGGCCGGGCCGGGCACAGAGGCUCAAACCUGUAACCCCAGCACUUUGGGAGGCCAUAGUGGGUGGAUUACCUGAGAUCAAGAGUUCAAGACCAGCCUGGCCAACAUGGUUAAACCCCGUCUCUAUUAAAAAUGCAAAAAUUAGCCAGGCGUGGUGGUGCGUGCCUGUAAUUCCAGCUACUUGGGGGCUGAGGCAGGAGAAUCGUUUGAACCCAGGAGGCAGAGUUUGCAGCGAGCCGAGAUCGCGCCACUGCACUCCAGCCUGGGCAACAGAAUGAGACUCUGUCUCCAAAAAAAGAAAAAAUAAAUAAAGAAAAGUCAUUCUGUAGUUUUAGCCUUUGUGAAGGCAUGAAGUGGCAUCUCAUUAUGGUUUAAAUGCUUAUUUCGCUGGUGACUAAUGAGGCUGACCAGUUUUUCACUGCAUUUAGCCCUUUCAAUGCACUUCAGGUCUGUGAAGUACUUGUUCAAGUGUAUUGCCCAUUUUAAAAAUUGGUUUGUUUAUCUUUUUCUUAUCAAUUUGUAGGAGUUCUUGAUAUAUUCUGGGCAGAAGGCCUUGGUGUAGAAUCUAUUAAGACACACCGAGGCGAACGGUACAUUUGUCUGCAACUUACCUUUUGACUCUCUUGAUGGUGUCUCAAAGUUGUUGAUUUUAAGGAAGCCCAGUCUUUUAUGUCGAGUCCCUUUGUGUUCUAUGUUAGAAAUCUUUGCUGACCACAGUGUCUUCUUCUUUUUCUUUUGAGACGGAGUCUCGCUUUGUCGCCCAGGCUGGAGUGCAGUGGCGCCAUUUCAGCUCACUGCAACCUCCGCCUCCCAGGUUCAGGUGAUUCUCCUGCCUCAGCCUCCCGAGUAGCUGGGAUUACAGGCAUGCGCCACCAUACCCAGCUAAUUUUUAUAUUUUUAGUAGAGACAGGGUUUCACCAUGUUGGCCAGGCUGGUCUCAAACUCCUGACCUCAGGUGAUCCGCCCACCUCGGCCUCCCAAAGUGCUGGGAUGACAGGUGUGAGCCACUGUGCCUGGCCUGACCACAGUGUCUUGAAGAGAUUUUGCUAUGUUUUAUUCUAGAAGCUUUGGGGCUUAUUUUUCACACUUUGUUCUAUGACUUAUUUCAUUUAUUAGUAUUAUUUUUUGAGACAGAGUCUCCCUCUGUCACCCAGGCUGGAGUGCGGUGGUGCAAUUUCAGCUCACUGCACCCUCUGCCUCCUGGGUUCAAACAAUUCUUGUGCUUCAGCCUCCCGAGUAGCUGGGAUUACAGGAGUGUGCCACCACGCCCGGCUAAGUUAUGUAUUUUUAGUAGAGACAGGGUGUCACCAUGUUGGCCAGGCUGGUCUUGAACUCCUGGCCUGAAGUGAUCCGCCCGCCUCAGCCUCCCAAAGUGCUGGGAUUACAGGUGUGAGCCA